Molecule: ribosomal RNA, 247 nt
Filed under: uncultured bacterium
Lineage: Bacteria
Description: partial 16S ribosomal RNA
Rfam family: Bacterial small subunit ribosomal RNA
Source: RNAcentral
AUACGUAGGGGGCAAGCGUUAUCCGGAAUUACUGGGUGUAAAGGGAGCGUAGGUGGUAGUGCAAGUCAGAUGUGAAAGCCCGGGGCUCAACCCCGGGACUGCAUUUGAAACUGCAUAACUAGAGUGCAGGAGAGGUAAGUGGAAUUCCUAGUGUAGCGGUGAAGUGCGUAGAUAUUAGGAGGAACACCAGUGGCGAAGGCGGCUUACUGGACUGUAACUGACACUGAGGCUCGAAAGCGUGGGGAGC